AGAGUCGGUUAGACGGUUGCGAGACCUUGUGUCUUGAGGAAAGUCCGAGCCCCACAGGGCAGAAUAGCGGCUAACCGCCGCCGAGGGUGACCUUAGGGAAAGUGCAACAGAGAUAUACCGCCUUGUUUUCAAGGUAAGGGUGGAAAGGCGAGGUAAGAGCUCACCUAUCACACGGGAACGUAGUGAUACUGUAAACCCUAUUCGGAGCAACGCUAAGUGUGGCUAUACAUUUGCCCGAUGUGCCACGAAAAGCGGCUUGAGUGUUGGAGCAAUCCUUCACCUAGAUAGAUAACCGUCCGCGACAGAACUCGGCUUACCGACCGACUCUAUAA
Molecule: RNase P RNA, 332 nt
Filed under: Clostridia bacterium
Lineage: Bacteria; Bacillati; Bacillota; Clostridia
Description: RNase P RNA component class A
Rfam family: Bacterial RNase P class A
About the family: Ribonuclease P (RNase P) is a ubiquitous endoribonuclease, found in archaea, bacteria and eukarya as well as chloroplasts and mitochondria. Its best characterised activity is the generation of mature 5'-ends of tRNAs by cleaving the 5'-leader elements of precursor-tRNAs.
Source: RNAcentral